GAUGAACGCUGGCGGCGUGCCUAAUACAUGCAAGUCGAGCGAACGGACGAGAAGCUUGCUUCUCUGACGUUAGCGGCGGGCGGGUGAGUAACACGUGGAUAACCUACCUAUAAGACUGGGAUAACUUCGGGAAACCGGAGCUAAUACCGUAUAAUAUUUUGAACCGCAUGGUUCAAUAGUGAAAGACGGUCUUGCUGUCACUUAUAGAUGGAUCCGCGCUGCAUUAGCUAGUUGGUAAGGUAACGGCUUACCAAGGCGACGAUGCGUAGCCGACCUGAGAGGGUGAUCGGCCACACUGGAACUGAGACACGGUCCAGACUCCUACGGGAGGCAGCAGUAGGGAAUCUUCCGCAAUGGGCGAAAGCCUGACGGAGCAACGCCGCGUGAGUGAUGAAGGUCUUCGGAUCGUAAAACUCGGUUAUUAGGGAAGAACAUAUGUGUAAGUAACUGUGCACAUCUUGACGGUACCUAAUCAGAAAGCCACGGCUAACUACGUG
RNAcentral lists this ribosomal RNA (497 nucleotides) under uncultured bacterium. RNAcentral's name for it is "partial 16S ribosomal RNA". It matches the Rfam family "Bacterial small subunit ribosomal RNA", at positions 28 to 507 of the family's 1533-position model. The record is from RNAcentral.